CUUAGUGGCGGACGGGUGAGUAACGCGUGGGUAACCUGCCUUGCACUGGGGGAUAACACUUAGAAAUAGGCGCUAAUACCGCAUAAGCGCACGGUCCUGCAUGGGACAGUGUGAAAAACUCCGGUGGUGCAAGAUGGACCCGCGUCUGAUUAGCUGGUUGGCGGGGUAAAGGCCCACCAAGGCGACGAUCAGUAGCCGGCCUGAGAGGGUGGACGGCACAUUGGGACUGAGACACGGCCCAAACUCCUACGGAAGGCAGCAG
Molecule: ribosomal RNA, 262 nt
Filed under: uncultured bacterium
Lineage: Bacteria
Description: partial 16S ribosomal RNA
Rfam family: Bacterial small subunit ribosomal RNA
Source: RNAcentral